GCGAAGGAAAUUAAUUUCAAAGCCAUCUUUCGAUGUUUUCUGUAAAUACAUGGCAAUUUUUUGCGGUCACUAAAGAUUUAAAAGAAAAAUUGCGUAUUAAUUAGUCUGAGGUAAGGCUCUCGCUUCAAAUUUGAAUCUGGAAUCUAUAGCAAUUCCGGAAUAAGCUAUUUAAACCAUAGACAGGCAUCGAGGACCUUUGAUAACAAUAAUUCCGCUUGUCAAAGUUAAAAUGCUUAUCAGUCAGGAACCCAUGAGCAUAGAGUUGCUGUAAUGGGCCAAAUCUGAAUGUUUCUUUGAUAUAAUUGAUACCCGAGCCUCUUGUCACAAAUGGAAAAGCAAGAACAAACUGAUUUAAUUUAGUGCGUUGGAUGCGCGAACAAAAUUGCAUUGCUGAGUGAUUGCAAGGUUUAUCUCAUGGUUUAGUUUUCUCAGAGAAUUUUAGCGAAAACGGUGAACAGAUCCAGGUGAAACUACCUUCAAGAAUUUGCAUAAAGUAAGAACCCACUCUGCAGGAUAUCGGAUCUAUUUAUACAAGGCAAGUCAAAAUAUAUAUCCGCGCUGAAGUUAACACUCCCAGUCUGCGACAGCUUUCAACCCACGCGUACACCAAGAGUCUUGUCUGAACGAGUUUGAGUCUGAAAGUGCAUUGAUCGCAGUAGUCGGCUGGCGCUGGUUAUAACUAGUCUUUUCACAUGUAAGAACGACACUCAAGUGUUUACUGCCACAGAAGAUUGCAUCCGCUGAACAACAUUCUGUGAGGAUAUCUGUAGCUGAGAAUUAGCUUAUUCUGCCAUCACCGAACCAGGUCUAAGAAUACUACCAAAGGUCCACUGCUGCCUCAAUGGAGAACCAAAAUUUCUCCGAUAUCG
Orbicella faveolata is the source of this 869-nucleotide long non-coding RNA. Lineage: Eukaryota; Metazoa; Cnidaria; Anthozoa; Scleractinia; Merulinidae. The record is from RefSeq and is a predicted model, not a curated record.